UGAAUGAAUCCAUUAUCAGAGAGUAUCAAUUGAAGUUGAAGAUCAAGUUCUUGAAGAUGAUGAACAAGUUUACCAUGAGAAUCAUAUUAGUGUUGUUAAUUGGAUUGGUUAUAUCAAAUGUAAUAAAUUAGUUGAUUAGGUUAGGUUGUUUAUGAGAGGUUUGUUUGUGUUAUGUUUAUUUGUGCAAUGUAAUAUUCUGUUAAUGUUGUGUGAACUACAAUGCAAUAUAAUUGACUAUGUUAAGUUGAAUGAAGAUUAUUGUUGUUGAA
Molecule: long non-coding RNA, 269 nt
Filed under: Lathyrus oleraceus (garden pea)
Lineage: Eukaryota; Viridiplantae; Streptophyta; Magnoliopsida; Fabales; Fabaceae
Description: Pisum sativum (pea) long non-coding RNA (PSAT_LNC038506)
Source: RNAcentral